RNAcentral lists this unclassified non-coding RNA (259 nucleotides) under Hevea brasiliensis (rubber tree). The record is from RNAcentral. Lineage: Eukaryota; Viridiplantae; Streptophyta; Magnoliopsida; Malpighiales; Euphorbiaceae.
GGGGAGAGGGAGAGAGAGGGAGAGGGAGAGGGAAGAGAGAGAAAGGAGGAAUAGGGAUAGGGAAAGCAGUGGACGUAGUAGGGAGGCAGAUAGGGAUAGAAAUAGUGAUAGGUACAGCAGGCAUCAGGAUGACAGUGUUGCUUAUAAUAGACGUAAUAGACAUUACGAGACUGACAUUGAGAGAGGAAGGACAAGUAAUCACUUAAAAACUGAGACCACAAAGCAACAUGCUGUAGAGACAGAGAGUGAGAGAUCGAGA